CUAAAAAUUUUACUUAUCUAAAAAGCUAAAAAACAAAUGUUGCUCUGAUUUAUAUAAGCAUCCCAGACUAAGGGAAAACACAGGACUGCAGAUCUGUUGAGAUGCCCCUUUAGUGGGGAGCCCUCAAACACAUUCAAAACUCAAUGAAAUUUUAAUCUCAUUACAAUUAAAUGCUAAAUUCCUCCAACAUCAAUAAAAUCAAGAUUUCUUCUGAUAAAGAACAUUGUUAUAAGAAUAAGUGAACACAACUGGCAAUGAACAGAGUUAAAGAAUAAAUUUUAAUUUCCAUAUAAGAAAAGUGAGGUUCUGAAGUUGUUCCCAGCUGGAGCAACAGGAGCAAAAGAUUUAAUGUGUCCAAAAUUAACAUGUUGGAUUAUAAACCUGUAAAUUCAAGAGCACAGUCCCCAGCACAGCUGCCAUAGACUGGCAGAAACAUUACACUUAUUACACAGAAACAGAAAGGGAUGAUGAUGUUUACCUUCUCCCUAGAGCUACCCUUUUCCCGAAGAAGAGCAGCCCAGUUUUCAUGUGCACCACGAAGAGCUGCAUUGCAGUGUGCCUGUGAUUUAGGAAUCACCAAGAGCCUUCAAUGAUGCUCUGAUUCUGUCACAUGGAGCAGCUGUUCCCACUCUGCAACCUCAAACUACAACAGGGGUUAUUUACUGACCAGCUGGUGAGCACUGGAUCUUUAGUUUCUUAGGCAAGCUGAAAUGGGAAAAAUGCAAAACUAGUGCCAUUACAUCUGGGGAAUCGAUUUAGAAAGAUAAAACCAACCUGUCCUUGUUGAUAAGUGUUUGCUUCUCGACACUAAAUGCAUCUCUCAAUAUUAAACUUCAAAAGGUCUGAUGUAAGAGAACCCAAAUAGUUCAGAGCCUCUUUAAAAUUACCACAGCACUCAGUAAAGAUAAGGACAAGGAGAAUUAGGGCUCUUCUUAUGUUCCUGUACUGCAUCAUCCCUUCCUCUGCCCUGAAAAAUACAAUGACAACACAUCUUUUGAUGUUUUGAAUUCUUCACGGCUUUGUAUACCAAGAUAACACCAGAGCACCUUAUUUAAAAUUUUGAUUAAUCAUAAAAGCCAAGAGAUUGUUAUAAGAAAUAAAAAAGACAAGUCAUAAACCAGUAAAAGCUUUAAAUUUUCACCAGCAGUUUCAAACUCUGAAUUAACACAGAGAUAACUGUGAAAUGAUUGUGUUUUCAUCUCCUGCCUUUAAAUCACAGUAAUAAUUCAUACAAGAAUUAUUCCUGGACUUAUUUAUGUUAAGAGAAGCAAAACAUCUGGUUAUUGUAACCAGAUGCAAACUGCAGCUAAAAGCAGGGAGAUGUAACUGGGUGCUCAGUCACAUCACUGAACUGCUGAGACACAGGAGAAAAGGCACAGAGAAGCAACAGAACAGCUUCUACUGCUGAGAUCAGAAGCAACUUAACAAUGCUGCAUGAAAGCAUACUGAGAUAUUUUUCUCCAAUUACUUACCUGGUACCAGUAGAGUAGAACUUAUCUUACAUUUCUCAAAAAAAUUACUCCUAUAACACUUAAAAAAAAAAAAAAAAGAAAAAGGAUAAAGUUGACAGAAACAGAGUAAUCCAAGACCAUUCACACACUGGAUUUACCUAAAAUUUGGAGAAAAGGCAAGUCUAUCUUACUAGUGUUUCCUACUGUUUAGUGAGUUUACAAAUGUAAUUUUUGUCACAAUAAUCUAGUUCUUCAAUGGGUUGCAAGAAUAAACUGUCCUGAUUCCUUUCUGUGAGUCAUUAUUGACAAUCUGCUCAAUCUAUUGUCUCUCUGAAAGAUAAACAAAAUGUGACCAUGACAGGAGCAACCGCUGGGAGAUAGAAAUGCACUUGUACUCAGCACCCAUGCAAGCAGCUCACAGACCACUUUUCAGACAAAACUGCCAUGGAAUUUCUCUGAGCUGCCAUCUUCACCACACUUUAUAGCUAAUGAUUUCUGUAGGUCUGACAAAUCUUUUAACUAUGCUAUUGUUUAUGGCUACUGAUUAAAAAAAACAAGGAAAAAGGUUAGUAAUCUGAAGUAUAUAAAUGAUCCCACUAGCACAGCUGUAAAUUCUGAAAUAUAUGUUGAGUGUCAGAAAUUAAAGUACAGAUGCCACAUUAAAUGAUUUUCUGACCUUUAGAAACUUGAAAAUAGGACAUGUUUUCUUAUAAAAACUCACUUUUCAGUCAACACCCCUAUAAAACCCCAGUUCUUUUUAUGUCCCCAAAUUGUCUUUUCAUUUGAUCUUAAUACAUUCUAAACAUAGGCCACACAGUAAACUGAUUUAUCUUUCAUCACUCAGCUUUUACCAGCACAGUAUCCAGUAAUCCACUUCUCCUAGGGCUUACGCCCACAUUCCAAACUAUAAAGCCAAAGGAAAGAGAUCUUAAUUGUUUUUAAAGCUCUCACUCUGGAAUCUCAGCCAGAGCCAGCAGGAAGGUCUCGCUGCUCUCCAGCCACAUCAGCGUUGGACACUGGGUGAGAUGCAGUGCACUGAGUGCUGGGGACACUCAGGGUCACACACAGACUCCUCCUGCCUCAGAGCACCAAUACAUCUGUUUCCACUGGACUGACAGAGCCAGCACUCACUGUCACAGCACAGACCAGCCCAGCAGCUGCAGCCAGGACCUUUGGCUGCCAAGUGUCCUUCCCUAAAUCCAUCUUGUGGGCCAAAGGCAAAGGACGUGUUGCAAUGGCCAGCACUAUCAGACUUGCAUCAAUGGUCAUUGGCCUUUUUCUCCCCCUCCUAUUGGUGAAGGCACAUUCAUUUACCUGGUGUCUUCCUUUACAAUCAGUGCUCACAGUGGGAUAAAGCAGGAAACACUUCCUGAACAUCCAGCUUCUUCCUUGCAGGGCUCAGACAUGUUUGUAAUAGAUGCUCACUCCUUUUUCAAGACAAUUAUUCCAAAAGAGCUGCAGUUCUCACACAUCUGUUGCCCUCUGGUAGAAAUGCUAAGUUUCUAUGACAUUUAACAGAAAUAUCAUGCAGGUACCUGAAUUAUUCCUGUCUUUCCAUUCAUUUGGAGUUACACUAAAACAGCUACAGAUGUUGCAAACAAGACAAACACUGAUUUCACUGAAUUGAGUACUUCAGUCAUGGGACGGCUUAAAUGAAAGUACAUGGACUAAACAGGAAAAGUACCAAAAAGAGAAAAAAAAAAGAAAAAGCUUAUCUUAUAGCAUGUCAUGUUCUCCAAUUUCUUUAGGUUCAGGCCUUCAUGAUCCUUAUUUUCACUUAUUUCUCAUUUUGCAAUAAAGGCAUUUUUACAAGUUGUAAAAAUCUUUCAGAGCAUGUCCAACAGUAGAAACCAAUGUGCAUGGCAAAUAAAAUUUGGAUGAAAGCAGUGAGACCUCAGAAGUUUGAAUCCCCAAGAGUGUCAGGAUCAUCAUCACACCUUAUGUUUUCACAAGGUGAAGGACACAUCAAUCCAGAUGCAAUCCAAAGACUGAUGUAAUAUAUGUUAAUUCAACUCAGCUUACUAACAAUCCUCACCAAACAAUCUCUGAGGAGGCAUUCCUGAAAGGUGUUUCUGUACAGUGAGACUUUGUCACACAUUAUUAAACACCACUAAAAAUGGUCUCCUGUGAUGCACACAAAAACUUCUGAGCCAAAAGGCAAAAUUUCAUAUUAAGGGUGCUUCUGUUACAUUUAGGAAAAUGAGCAAACAUUAAACAUUGUGCAAAAGGAAAAGACUUUAUUUAACACAAUAUAUUAUUUGGAAGUUUCGAGCACUGAAGACCAGAAAAACAAACUGUAUUUUGCCUUUCCAAAUACACCUAUAUUCAGCAUGGAAGCCAUUGAUUUUUAAGAUACACCAAAAAUGUCUUUUAGCAUCUAGUUACUGCUGAUUGCCUUUUCAGCUGCCAAUCCUUGUUUGGGUUUCGAGUAAUCCCAGGGUCUCCUGUUCUCUGUGUAUC
This is a non-coding RNA of Taeniopygia guttata (zebra finch), 3911 nucleotides long. The record is from RefSeq and is a predicted model, not a curated record. NCBI's taxonomy places the organism in Eukaryota, Metazoa, Chordata, Aves, Passeriformes, Estrildidae.